RNAcentral lists this ribosomal RNA (254 nucleotides) under uncultured bacterium. RNAcentral's name for it is "partial 16S ribosomal RNA". It matches the Rfam family "Bacterial small subunit ribosomal RNA", at positions 524 to 776 of the family's 1533-position model. The record is from RNAcentral.
GACGGAGGGCGCAAGCGUUGUUCGGAAUUACUGGGCGUAAAGGGCGGGCAGGUGGUCUGUUAAGUCGUUUGUGAAAAUCCGGGGCUCAACCCCGCGAAAUGCAGACGAUACUGGCAGACUAGAGAUCGGUAGAGGCUAGCGGAAUUCCUGGUGUAGCGGUGGAAUGCGUAGAUAUCAGGAAGAACACCUGUGGCGAAGGCGGCUAGCUGGGCCGAGUCUGACACUCAUCCGCGAAAGCGUGGGGAGCAAACAGG